RNAcentral lists this long non-coding RNA (395 nucleotides) under Homo sapiens (human). RNAcentral describes it as "HSALNT0066984". The record is from RNAcentral. Lineage: Eukaryota; Metazoa; Chordata; Mammalia; Primates; Hominidae.
AACUUGCAAAUUGCUAGCAUUCUCUCUGCAAGACAAGAGAUGCUGUCUGUGCCCUGACCCCUGACUCCACACCCCAGCUUGUUCUGCCCCUUUCUGAUUGUUCUAAGUAACUGACAUACUUAGAACAGUUUAGGGCCACGUCGUGGCCUUUCGAGGCCGGCGUGCUGUGAUAUUUUCCUACAGAGCGCGGUCACUUCCAGAGGCGAGAGAGGCACAGAAUUCUAUUCUGAGAAUCCCUGGGACACACGCAGCGGUGGCUGUGAGUAUGAGGGCAGAUGCUGCGGAACAGCCUGGAAAGGAUGCGGGGUCCGUGGCCCCUGGCAGUGCCCGGAGCUGAGCAGCCACCUUCCUGGAGGAGAAGCCCUGCGCCAGAUGCCUGAGAAUGACACACGCAG